Mobula hypostoma (lesser devil ray) is the source of this 4702-nucleotide long non-coding RNA. RefSeq lists it as uncharacterized. The transcript has 4 exons. The record is from RefSeq and is a predicted model, not a curated record. Lineage: Eukaryota; Metazoa; Chordata; Chondrichthyes; Myliobatiformes; Myliobatidae.
AAACAGCUACAUUGUUUCAAAACACACAAAAUUUUGGAGAGAAGCAACACACACAAAAUGCUGGUGGAAUGCAGCAGGCCAGGCAGCAUCAUUUUGUGUGGGUUGCUUGAAUUUCCAGUAUCUGCAGAUUUUCUCAUGUUUGAAAUUUUGGAGGGACUCAGGAAGUCAGCCAGGAAGGGAAUAAACAUUGUUUCAAACAGAAUCCUGUGCAAAAGUGAAUAAGGCCAUAUUGCAAGUGGACUCGGUUGAAAAUUAUUCCACAGAAUGCAAGAGAAAUAAAGAAGCAGUGAUCAUGUAUCAUUUAUUUCAGGUUUGUAAAAUUCUGUAAUCUGCAGUAGGGUAGUAAGAUUUAAAACUGUACUUCCAUACGUCUUAAAUAGUGAGAAACAAAAAGAUUACAUGAAUCUUGGGGUCAAGCAUAUUUAUUUAAGUCUACAUGUUAUAAUAGCAGUCGGCAUAAUAGAGUCAUAUAUUUCAAUUAUACACUAUACUGUGACAGUGAAUUUAGCACCAAUAAACAGUCAUUCAACUGUUCACCUGAGGACCACACCUUGUCCAAAAUGCAAACAGAAAUCCUCACAUAGAAACCAUAGAAAAACUACAGCACAGAAGCAGGCCUUUUGGCCCUUCUUGGCUGUGCCGAACUAUUUUCUGCCCAGUCCCACUGACCUGCACGCGGACCAUAUCCCUCCAUACACCUCCCAUCCAUGUAUCUGUCCAAUUUAUUCUUAAAUGUUAAAAAAGAACCCGCAUUUACCACCUCAUCUGGCAGCUCAUUCCACACUCCCACCACUGUGUGUGUGAAGAAGCCCCCGCAAUGUUCCCUUUAAACUUUUCCCCCUUCAUCCUUAACCCAUGUCCUCUGGUUUUUUUCUCCCCUUGCCUCAGUGGAAAAAGCCUGCUUGCAUUCACUCUAUCUAUACCCAUCAUAAUUUUAUAUACCUCCAUCAAAUCUCCCCUCAUUCUUCUACGCUCCAGGGAAUAAAGUCCUAACCUACUCAACCUUUCUCUGUAACUGAGUUUCUUAAGUCCUGGCAACAUCCUUGUAAACCUUCUCUGCACUCUUUCAACCAAAGAUAUUUAGAAUCCAGUAAAGUCACUAGAUUUUGAUAUUUGGAAUCAAUCUGAAUCAUCAAGACAAAUCCAAAUUACAAAUUUAAAUUUAAAGGAUAUUUUGCGUUGUUUUUUGUUAACAAGAGCAAUGAUCAAUAAACUGGUGGAUGACAAGAGGUUUGUGAUGUUGUUGAUAGCGACAAAGGUUGUCUGGAUCAAGUAGGGCAGAGCAUUAGUAAAUGGAAUUGAGACCACAACUGGAACUUAAUCCCAACAAGGGUGAGGUUAUGCAUUUUGGUAGGUUAAAUAGGGAUAUAUACUAUAAAUGAUUGUAGCCUAAAGAAUGUUUACGAUCAAAGGGAUUUUCAAGGUAAGGUUCAUUGUUUUGCAUGGAUGAAAGGAAAAUGGAGAAUUAUGUGAGAAGGGAGGGUUAGUUUGAUUUUAGAACAUUAUGGACUGAAGGACCUCUAAUGGUCUAUGUCCUACGUUUCCUGAAAGUGGCAACAUAGUUAGAGACUGUAGGAUGGUGGAGGAAGCAUAUGGAAGCAUAGAAUAUGAAAGUUGGGAGAUUGUGUUUAAACAUCACAAAUCACCAUAUUAGGAGUGUUGUGUGCAGUCCUAGUUGCCACUCUAUAGGUAGGAUCUGGCUGUGCUGAAGUGAGUGAGGAGGAGAUUCAAUUCACCAGCAUGUCUCUUGGAUUGUGGCACCUUUGUCACAGGGACAGACUGCAUAGGCUUGACUUGUUUUCCUUGUACUGAAAGAGGCUGAGGGGUGACCUGAUCCAUCUAGAUUAAGUUAUGCAAGGCAAUAGAUAAGGUGGAUAGACUGAAUCACUUUUCCCAAGGUAAGAUUAUCAAAAACAAGAAAGCACAGGUUUACGGUGAGAGGAAGAAUGUUUAAAGACUAUUUGAGGACAGAUCUUUUUUAAAAAAAAUAAUGCAAAGUGCUGGAUAUCUGAAACUUAUUGCCAGAAGAACUGAUGAUCAAAUACAAUUAACUAUUUAAAACAUAGUAGAUUGGCGUUAAAGUGGACAAUGCAUAGGAGCCAGGUGUAAUGUAGGCAAAUAGAAUUCAUGAAUGUGAACAAAAAGGGUCGGCAUAGACGUGGCGGAUCGAAGGGCCUGUUUCUGUGCUGUGCAGUUCUGUGACUCUUAAAAACUUAAGAAACUAUCCAGAAUUUACAAAGUAAAUAAUGCAGCAUUGGGAGAAUGAGGAAAAAGCGGCCGGAGGGCAACAACUACCUGAGGCAUUAAAGUUUAGAGACUACUUCACUUAAAAGGUAGCAGCUCCCUUCGGUUUAUAAAUACACGUGAGGACAUGCAAAACAUCCAUCCGUCAUAAAUGAAAAUCAUUAUCUGGAGCAAACCACGCAGUCACCGUCUUUACAUAUUUUAAUCUUCAACAUCAACCACCAACAUAACCUAUCUACUGUAUCGUGAUUAGCCGUGAUCGGCGAACUUCAGGCAUUUAAAAUGCGCCGACUCAAACAGACAGCCUUCAGCUCAAACGCGGGGUAGUGUGUUGUAAUUAUGAAAAUGAAAGUGAACAGCUUCAUUCCAAAAGGGCUAAACUGUGACAAGGAAGAGUCACAAACGAAGAGUACGCCGUUAUUUAAUAAAUGCAAUUCAGCAAGUGAGAAUAAUAAAUUGGAAUCGCUAUUGCUCAGAUUUCUAGUUUCAAUGAACUGGAAUCACAUAAUAAAUGACAAUCGCCACAGGGAACAACGGAAUAGCCCGUCCCUUACGGAUUUUUUUUCCAGGCACGCGAUUACGAAAAAAAAUGCCAGAUUUGCACACUAACGCCGAUCUGCCGCCCUGUGUGCAGCGCAGGGUCGCCAACAAAAAAGAUAAACAGUGCAGCAAACGCUGUAACAUUGGCGGAGCUUUUUGAUAGAUCGGAUCUGGCCGUUGAAAUAUUCUCAAAGCAUCAUUCAGAUCCCACAGUCAUCGUGAUACUGCACAUCCAGAAGAAAUACUGUCACAAGAAAGUAGCAUCCAUAAUUGAGACCCCUCCCCCCACCCCACUGUCCAUGCCAUAUUCUCUUCUUAUUACAGCCAUCAGGAAGGAGGUACAUGAACACUUCAGGUUCAAGGAAAGGUAUUAACCAUCUACAAUCAGGCUCCUGAACCGGAGUGGGAUAACUUCACUUAUCUCAACAUUGAACUGAUUCCACAAUCCAUGGACUCACUUUCAAGGAUUCUACAACUCAUGUUCUCAGUAUUAUUCAUUUAUUUUAGUGUUGUUUAUGAAUCUUUGUUUGUAGUUUUUCAUUGAUCCUAUUGUAUUUCUCUGUUCUUCUAUAAAUGCCUGCAAGAAAAUGAAUCUCAAAGUAGCAUUUUGAUAAUAAAUUUACAAUGAACAAUACUCAGCCUGCUCAACUUCACAACAAGCCAAAAAUACAUCUAUAGUCAAGAACUAGCUAGCAUGAUAGAAAGGAUAGAGUGGCAUACAGUUUUUAGAGCUCAUUUGAGAGUACUAGGAAUUCAUGCAGUUUGGUGUCUCAUAUGUGUUACUUGAUGAAGCUUUGCAGUUUGGCAACAGAGAGAUAAGCAAGCUGAGGUAAACCACACCCCCAAUGCAAGCAUUACAAAAACAACUAUCCAAAUUGGUAGUUUAUAGAGGAACUAUUGAGGAAAUGACUACUUAAAUGCAGGAACUAUAUGCCACAAAUGUUAAUUAAGGGGUUACUACAAAUAUCAAUCUACAAAAUGGAAGAAAUUGAGAAGUUCAUCUCAUGCAGCCAACAAAGUAGAUUACUCUGUUCACUUUGUCAAUUUUCUUCAUAUACAGAAGAUGUUAAAGGGGAGGAGGGAAUAAUUAGAAGUGUACAAACAUUGGAAGAAUUAUGCUACAUGAGUAAUUUCUUUGGUUGACAGUUGAUUGUAAGUUUAUUUUACAUAAAAAUAUUCACAUUCCACUUCUAAAAUACUCCUGUUUUUUUUUCUCUUAAACUUGUGCAGGAUGUUUGCCAAGAGAAAAAAAAUCAAACAUAUUUUGUAUUCCUAAGAAAAUAUCAAGGCUUUUGUUACUGUAGACUUCAAGAUGUAAUAAUUUAACAUGUUCAGUUUAUAUUUAUCAGCUGCUAAGCUGGUAAGGGGUAAAUCCUUUCAAAUUUACACAUGGGUUAAAUUUUUAGGUCAAUUUAUCAUAAUAAUCUGCUGUCCAAGUUAUGUUUAAAAUAGAAACAGUAAAAACAAGGACAAGAGUUGUGCCAAAAUCCUUGUAACUAGGAGAGUACUUAAAUACAUCAGCAGCUGUUUUUCUCAAAUCAAUAUUUGUAUAGAUUCCUCAAGAUUAAGCCUAUUUAAACAUUGCAACCUUUACUAAUGUCAACUUUCAUGUCCAGUAGGUCAACUAAUAUUAAUGUAUUCUGGGAGCCAAGGCAGUUCUCCUAUUGAUUGCAAGGACAUUAGUUCAUCUGUAUGAAUUUCCUCAGGGCAAGUUAUUCUGGAUUCUGCCAGCUUUCUUUUCAGUCCUGAUGAAGGGUCUCAGCCCAAGACAUCAACUGUUUAUUCACUUCUACAGAUGCUGCCUGACUUGGAAGGAGGUACAGAAGCCUGACGGUACACAUUCAAGGAUUCAGGAACAGCUUCUUCCUUUCUGCCAUCUGAUUUCUGAGGGGACAUUGAAUCUCCUCCCCACCAUCAA